UGAUUGUCCAAACGCAAUUCUCGCUGCGCCAGUCCCCUGUGAGAAUUGUGGGUGGACAUCGGU
Molecule: microRNA precursor, 63 nt
Filed under: Petromyzon marinus (sea lamprey)
Lineage: Eukaryota; Metazoa; Chordata; Hyperoartia; Petromyzontiformes; Petromyzontidae
Description: Pma-Mir-219-o1_pre stem-loop
Rfam family: mir-219 microRNA precursor family
About the family: The hairpin precursors (represented here) are predicted based on base pairing and cross-species conservation -- their extents are not known.
Source: RNAcentral